UCCACUGCGAGAAAGCAUUGCAUUUACAGAGAGGUUUCUCAAGAUGGGAAUAGUGAAACAAACAUUUCCAAUGUCCUGCAGAACCCUCUGUCAGCCUCCCUGGGCAGGAAUUUCAGCCAUUCUGCAAUGAGAGCCCCUGAAAGGACCCUGCUGCCCUGUGGGACUGCCCAGCUCCCAGCCCUGCUGCUGGGGAAGAGCUCACCACAGGACACCUCCUGUAUCUGCUGUGGUUUGGAACUGUGUGCCAUCAAUGUGGGAUGGCUGGAGCAGGUGCUGCCCUUGGCCAGGCUGCUGGGAGCCCAGGAGGAGAGCCCUGAGCCAGUUCCCACCCUGUCCCACAGCCAGCAGUAAAUGCCACCAUGAUUGCAAUGAGCCUGGUGAGGUGUGAAAUGAAGAUUAAUCCUUCCCCAGGCCAAGAACUGCCCCUGCCUGAGACACCUGGAGCUCCACACUGCAUUUCCAGGUGUGCUGUGACUUACCUGGUGCUGCUGUGGGAUGUUCAUUGGAAUAUUCAUUGGGAUAUUCAGUGCUGCUUUUUGGACAAACUUCCUGAUACAGUGUUUAUUAGAACCACUAUUUGUGAGAAGAAACCUGGCUGUGCUCAUUUCUUGCUGAGGUUUCUCUUCCUGCCCUUGUCUCCAGCUCCAACCCCUCUCUGCAGAGACCUGCCUGACUCACUGCACGGCUGGGAAACAGCCCCAGGGAUGGCUCAGCUCAGGAGUGAUCACAGACAGACACUUGGCACUUCCACCCAAUUCCACUCUGCUGCAAAGGGAACAGGGGAAAACCUCAGCUUGUGGCCUCUGACAGAGAGCUGACAGCCUGUCGUGCAGCACGAGCCACUGGGUGCUGCCUCAGCUCUGCCAUCUGCCGUGGUUGCCCUCUUCCCUGCCUACUCCCCGUGCAAGAUUUGGGUGUUUUCUCCACCCUGCUGAGCUUUCAGCACAGCCCAUGCCCUCGUGCCAUGCUGGGGCAGCAUCAGGAGGCUGCUGGGGAGCCCUGACCUGGACCAGGUGGGUGGAACCUCCCACAGCUUACCCACCCACUCCUCACUCAGAAAUCUCUCUUGUUGUGAUAAAGAAACCAAACAAAGUGAGAUUUAAGCAAAGUGUCAUCAGUCUCAUGUGCUGGUGAGAAUAAAAAUCCCUCUUCUCCCUGGCUGCGGGAAUUGGACUCAAAAAUUCAAGCAGACUUUCAGCCUGUUGUUGUGUGUAAUGUAAUUUACUCCUCCUUCAUAAUGAAAAAUGUUUGGAUAAAAGUGAAAAAAACCCAUUUUGACCCGUUUUGGUGGUUGGUUAGAUGACUUCACAAGUCCCUUCCAACCCAAACUAUUCUAUGACCCUGCAGAAGGUCGCAAGAAAACCCUGACAGAUUGAACAUUUUGAAGGAUGCCUUUCCUACUCCGGUUUAACACUCCAGCAAAGAGGAGAACAGCAUGACUGGAGCUGAGGAGCAGAGAGUGACUAACGAGCAGGAAUCAGCAGCAGGGCAGCAGCCUGUGCUGCACCUGCCCAGGCAGCCCCAGGGCACGGCAUGGGGAGCACCAUAUGCACUGCAGGGCUGAGAGCAGCAGCUCACACUGCCCUGCAGAUGGGGAAACAGCCCUGCCCUUGAGCAAGGUCAGAGAGAGGGAUUUUGGAAGAUGGGCAGCUCCAGAGUGCAGGAUUUUAUUCAAAGCACAGUGGGUUUGUGGGCACUGAGGGUGUGCUCAGGGAUAUGAUGUGCGGGAAGGGCUCUGGCACAGCCAUGGGAAAUUCUUUAGAGCAGAAAUGAGGACUGAUAGGGUUACAGGAAAUUUACAGUAAAAAUAACUCAGCAAAUUUGGCACUUGGGAUGCAGAUUGUGGAUAGCUCCUGUUCUCCUCUGUGCACUAUAUCCAAGUUUUAGGUAGUGUUUGAAGGAAUUAUUUCCAGCAGGGAUGCAGUUAAAUGACAACACAAAAUAGCCUCUGUUAAUGCUGUUACCAUGUGUACAAGCUAUGUAAUGCUACUUUUUUUUCUAGUAAAUGUAUUUUCCUCCUAGUUUUGAGUUUCCCUGAUUGGCUGGGUCUGUUCCACUUGGGAUAAAACAGAAGAAGAUGCAGUGUGUGGUGGAUUUAACAACCUGUGGGAUGCAGGGGUGAGGUCCCUUCUCCAAGGGAGGACAUUAUUGUAUUUUCUGUGUUUUGUUUUCCUUUCUUUUUGUUUCAAGUGAAUAUGUCUGGAGGAUGAAGGAUGGGUCACUUCCCUGACUUGCUUUUCUUCCUAAGUCACUGAAAGAAUUCAAGGGGAUUAGGGAGAAUUCAGAGAGCCAUGGACAGAAAAUCCCCUGUUCAGGAUGGCCUUUCCCAGGAUUUCAGUCUGCUUCCUCUUCCAGGUCUCUUCCUUUCAUAGGAGCUUAAAAGGAGGGUUUUGAAUGAC
This is a long non-coding RNA of Zonotrichia leucophrys gambelii, 2399 nucleotides long. RefSeq lists it as uncharacterized. The transcript has 7 exons. The record is from RefSeq and is a predicted model, not a curated record. NCBI's taxonomy places the organism in Eukaryota, Metazoa, Chordata, Aves, Passeriformes, Passerellidae.